Molecule: ribosomal RNA, 301 nt
Filed under: uncultured bacterium
Lineage: Bacteria
Description: partial 16S ribosomal RNA
Rfam family: Bacterial small subunit ribosomal RNA
Source: RNAcentral
CAGCCGCCACGGUAAUACGAAGGGGGCUAGCGUUGCUCGGAAUGACUGGGCGUAAAGGGCGCGUAGGCGGACUGUUUAGUUAGGCGUGAAAUUCCUGGGCUUAACCUGGGGACUGCGCUUAAUACAGGCAGUCUAGAGUGAGGAAGAGGGUUGUGGAAUUCCCAGUGUAGAGGUGAAAUUCGUAGAUAUUGGGAAGAACACCGGUGGCGAAGGCGGCAACCUGGUCCUUGACUGACGCUGAGGCACGAAAGCUAGGGGAGCAAACAGGAUUAGAUACCCCAGUAGUCCCUGUCUCUUAUAC